Canis lupus familiaris (dog) is the source of this 454-nucleotide long non-coding RNA. RefSeq lists it as uncharacterized. Lineage: Eukaryota; Metazoa; Chordata; Mammalia; Carnivora; Canidae. The record is from RefSeq and is a predicted model, not a curated record. The transcript is spliced from 2 exons.
AAUGCAGUCCCAUUCCAGGCCAGACAGCACAUGCUCUUCCAACAACAGGCAUGUCACUGGGCUGGAGACAGACACGGCAAGACCCCUGCGGCCACCCAGCAGUGCAGCCCGGAGAUGGCAUCUCGGUGGAAGCCCUCCAGGGCCAGCCUCCCUCGGGACGCUCAGAACAGCCCGAUGAUGUGAGCGAAGCAGCUGCCAUGGUCUGCCUUUCACAGCCGACGAACCAAGGCCAGAGGUAUUAGGGCACAGCUGUGGGGCACAGCGAAGGACCCUAUAACCUAAGACCAAAGAGAGGCAAGAUGACAAAGCCGGGACAGGAAGCCCAGGCUUCUCUCUGCUCGUUCUCCCUCAUCUGUGACGCGGGCCUGCUGAGAAACACCACGUUCUCCAAGACUGGGGUCAAACACCGGGCACCCCCCUCUCCUCCAUCCCUUUCAUAAAUCUUUACUGCCCA